CGUUAAACCUGAGUCACUCAAUUCAAGCAGUUCAGCGCAAAAGGUGGUUAGACGGCCCCCUCUUUAGAGGUACUAGGAAAAGAGGGAGCCGAUCCGGGAAGGAUAAGGGUGCAAUCUGGUUAACCCUCCUGAGGAAAGGGGGAAUUUUCCCUUUAGGCUGAAACCACGGAACCGGUAAACCGAAGACAUGGAUUAGGUACCCAUUUAUUGCCGACGCAAACUUUGCUUGUUGGGGCGGCUGCUUGAGUACUACGAGCGUGUGCUUAAAACUCAAAGAAUUUGGCGGCUCGUUAACUACCUAGGGGAAUAUGUGCCUUAAUCCGAUGAUACCCGUUAUAUCUUACUGCGCCUUGAAAACGAACAGUUGGUGUAUUGCCGUUGUCAGCUUGUUGUCCUAGCAAAAAGUAACAGGCUUAAUGGAACUAUUAAUGAGUUAAUAAGGUCCGUGAAUUCAGGUCGAAAUGCUGCCUAUGGUGCGAGGGAGUAGGUAUUACAGUUUAAAUUUAAAAUACGGAUCUCAUUUUUCUGUGAAAUCUCUGAGAGAAGGUGGACUUAGGAGUAAGGGGGGAUUAACAUGCCCCCCUGAACGUGAAUCUAACUUGUGUACAAACCGCCCGUCGCUCUCGCCGGAAGGGGAGAUAAGUCGUAACAAGGUAGGGGGU
This 662-nucleotide ribosomal RNA is filed under the name Caribachlamys ornata. RNAcentral's name for it is "partial 12S ribosomal RNA". It matches the Rfam family "Bacterial small subunit ribosomal RNA", at positions 519 to 1504 of the family's 1533-position model. The record is from RNAcentral. Lineage: Eukaryota; Metazoa; Mollusca; Bivalvia; Pectinida; Pectinidae.